RNAcentral lists this ribosomal RNA (526 nucleotides) under uncultured bacterium. RNAcentral describes it as "bacterial SSU rRNA". It matches the Rfam family "Bacterial small subunit ribosomal RNA", at positions 777 to 1301 of the family's 1533-position model. The record is from RNAcentral.
AAUAGAUACCCUGGUAGUCCACGCCGUAAACGAUGAGUGCUAAGUGUUAGAGGGUUUCCGCCCUUUAGUGCUGCAGCUAACGCAUUAAGCACUCCGCCUGGGGAGUACGGUCGCAAGACUGAAACUCAAAGGAAUUGACGGGGGCCCGCACAAGCGGUGGAGCAUGUGGUUUAAUUCGAAGCAACGCGAAGAACCUUACCAGGUCUUGACAUCCUCUGACAACUCUAGAGAUAGAGCGUUCCCCUUCGGGGGACAGAGUGACAGGUGGUGCAUGGUUGUCGUCAGCUCGUGUCGUGAGAUGUUGGGUUAAGUCCCGCAACGAGCGCAACCCUUGAUCUUAGUUGCCAGCAUUUAGUUGGGCACUCUAAGGUGACUGCCGGUGACAAACCGGAGGAAGGUGGGGAUGACGUCAAAUCAUCAUGCCCCUUAUGACCUGGGCUACACACGUGCUACAAUGGAUGGUACAAAGGGCUGCAAGACCGCGAGGUCAAGCCAAUCCCAUAAAACCAUUCUCAGUUCAGAUUGU